GAUGAACGCUGGCGGCGUGCUUAACACAUGCAAGUCGAACGGGAAACUUUUCAUUGAAGCUUCGGCAGAUUUGGUCUGUUUCUAGUGGCGGACGGGCGAGUAACGCGUGGGUAACCUGCCUUAUACAGGGGGAUAACAACCAGAAAUGGUUGCUAAUACCGCAUAAGCGCACAGGACCGCAUGGUCCGGUGUGAAAAACUCCGGUGGUAUAAGAUGGACCCGCGUUGGAUUAGCUAGUUGGCAGGGUAACGGCCUACCAAGGCGACGAUCCAUAGCCGGCCUGAGAGGGUGAACGGCCACAUUGGGACUGAGACACGGCCCAGACUCCUACGGGAGGCAGCAGUGGGGAAUAUUGCACAAUGGGGGAAACCCUGAUGCAGCGACGCCGCGUGAAGGAAGAAGUAUCUCGGUAUGUAAACUUCUAUCAGCAGGGAAGAUAGUGACGGUACCUGACUAAGAAGCCCCGGCUAACUA
This 474-nucleotide ribosomal RNA is filed under the name uncultured bacterium. Its description in RNAcentral is "bacterial SSU rRNA". It matches the Rfam family "Bacterial small subunit ribosomal RNA", at positions 28 to 503 of the family's 1533-position model. The record is from RNAcentral.